RNAcentral lists this ribosomal RNA (515 nucleotides) under uncultured archaeon. RNAcentral's name for it is "bacterial SSU rRNA". It matches the Rfam family "Archaeal small subunit ribosomal RNA", at positions 345 to 859 of the family's 1478-position model. The record is from RNAcentral.
AACCUUUACACUGCACGCCAGUGCGAUAAGGGGACUCCAAGUGCGAGGGCAUAUAGUCCUCGCUUUUCUGGACCGUAAGGAGGUCCAGGAACAAGGGCUGGGCAAGACCGGUGCCAGCCGCCGCGGUAAUACCGGCAGCCCAAGUGAUGGCCGCUCUUAUUGGGCCUAAAGCGUCCGUAGCUGGCCAGGCAAGUCCGUCGGGAAAUCCGCACGCCCAACGUGCGGGCGUCCGGUGGAAACUGCCUGGCUUGGGACCGGAAGACCUGAGGGGUACGUCCGGGGUAGGAGUGAAAUCCCGUAAUCCUGGACGGACCACCGGUGGCGAAAGCGCCUCAGGAAGACGGAUCCGACGGUGAGGGACGAAAGCUCGGGUCACGAACCGGAUUAGAUACCCGGGUAGUCCGAGCUGUAAACGAUGUCUGCUAGGUGUGACACAGGCUACGAGCCUGUGUUGUGCCGUAAGGAAGCCGUGAAGCAGACCGCCUGGGAAGUACGUCCGCAAGGAUGAAACUUAA